GGCCUAACACAUGCAAGUCGAGCGGGCACUUUCGGGUGUCAGCGGCGGACGGGUGAGUAACGCGUGGGAACGUGCCCUCUGGUUCGGAAUAACUCAGGGAAACUUGAGCUAAUACCGGAUACGCCCUUUUGGGGAAAGGCUUGCUGCCGGAGGAUCGGCCCGCGUCUGAUUAGCUAGUUGGUGGGGUAACGGCCUACCAAGGCGACGAUCAGUAGCUGGUCUGAGAGGAUGAUCAGCCACACUGGGACUGAGAUACGGGCCCGACUCCUACGGGAGGCAGCAGUAGGGAAUAUUGGGCAAUGGGCGAGAGCCUGACCCAGCCAUGCCGCGUGCAGGAAGAAGGCUUUCUGAGUCGUAAACUGCUUUUGAUAGGGAAGAAUAACCGGUACGUGUACCGGGAUGACGGUACCUACAGAAUAAGCACCGGCUAACUCCGUGCCAGCAGCCGCGGUAAUAAU
Molecule: ribosomal RNA, 458 nt
Filed under: uncultured bacterium
Lineage: Bacteria
Description: bacterial SSU rRNA
Rfam family: Bacterial small subunit ribosomal RNA
Source: RNAcentral